RNAcentral lists this long non-coding RNA (529 nucleotides) under Brassica napus (rape). Its description in RNAcentral is "long non-coding RNA (BNAP_LNC023749)". Lineage: Eukaryota; Viridiplantae; Streptophyta; Magnoliopsida; Brassicales; Brassicaceae. The record is from RNAcentral.
CCAAAUGUACAAUAUUUCUCUACAAAAAUGAAAACUUUCCUAAAAUAGAAUUUUUAAGAAUUUUAUUUUUAAAAUACAACCUAUUGAUCAAAAAAUCUAAAAGAAUACUCUUCUAUCAACAAAAGUUUUUCUUAUCCUAAUUUAUAAAUCACAACCCCAAAUCUACAAUAUUUAUCUACAAAAAUGAAAACUUUUCUAAAAUAGAAUUUUUGAAAAUUUUAUUUUUAAAAUACAACCUAUUGAUCAAAAAAUCUAAAAGAAUACUCUUCUAUCAACAAAAGUUUUUCUUAUCCUAAUUUAUAAAUCACAACCCCAAAUCUACAAUACUUAUCUAUAAUAAUGAAAAACUUUCCUAAAAUAGAAAUUUUUGAAAAUUAUAUUUAAAAAAUACAAUAUAUUGAUAAAAAAAUCAAACAAAAUACUCUUCUAUCAACAAAAAUUCUUGUUGUCCUAAUCUCUAAACCACAAUGCCAAAUGUACAAUAUGUCUCUACAAAAAUGAAAAUUUUCCUAAAAUAGAAUUUUUGAGA